AUCCCGAAUUAUAGGCACCAAUAAAAGGUUUGGAUAUGUGGUGAGGAAUAGUAGUUAAGUUAAACCGUAAGGUAUAAAUUUGAUACGAAAUGCCGAUUAGUCAAUUUUCGGCAAUUUCUUUUGUCCGUGUAAAAUCAUAAAUCGAAGCUAAGGGGUAAUAAUUUUAUAAAUUACAAAUUAUGGCCUAGAAUAAUUGUUGAUAAUGUGAGGAAUUGUUUUGGGCCAUUUGAAGGUAAUUAAAAAAAUUUCUAUCGCCGAUAAUUUCAGUUUUUAACGAAAACGAUCGCCGAAACUUUUGAAGAUAUAGACAGGAAUAAUUUUGCCUUAAACUAGAAUUUAAAUGCUAAAUGAUGAUAUAAAGAGUUCCUAAAUGUGAUAUCAUAUGAUAGGGCAAUAAAAUGUUACAAGAUAAUUAAUUUAUUUAAAAACUAACUAAAUAAUUAAAUAAUGAUUAGAAUUCUCUAGAGAAUUCUUUUGUCUAUCAUCAACUCCAAACCCCCCCUCAUUUCAGCCACAAGCACGUCCUCCCCCUCUCCAUGGAAGACCAAAAGCUUAAGCUUUUUAAUUUCCAAAUAUUUGUCAUUUAAUCGGUAAAUCGAUCGGGUAAUCUUGUAUCCGCCAGCAAAUCGAGCGAAGGAGCAUAUAGUGCGUUUUGAUCACAAAGGAGUGGAUUUAGAGGGUAGAGAAGUAUCAAGGUGAAAUAGGCUUAUGUUCAUAAGCCUGCGAGGUUAGAGUCGACAUUAUGUCAGUGGUGUUGCGCAGCUUUGCAUCUUUGGCGAGUCACUGGUGGUCAACUUGGUUUAGUAGUCGUGGCAUGUUAUGUAAUAGUUUAAUCUUUAACCUUCCGCUGGAUAAAUGUUAAGUUUUUAAAUGUAAUAGAUUUUAAUUAUGCUUUUAAGCUAAAAAGAAAAAGGAAAAAUUUCAGCACGGGUUUUCGAUACUGAAACGUGACAUCACUUAUUCGGUGGGUUACCUACCGGGUAAGGGGUGUUACAAGUUUUGGUAUCAGAGCCUAGGUUUAGGCGGUUCUGGAAAGAAGUGAUUCAGUAAAGUGUGUAGAAACAUGCCACAUAGGUUUAAUUGUCUGUUAGUACCAGUGACUCGAUGCAGCUGCUUAUGUCUAAAGUGGAAAGAAGUUAACAAGGUACGGGACAUAGUUUCCCGUGUGAUCGAGAAAGAUGUUAUAUGGGACUGGCCACCCCAUAUAGCUCUAAUCUCGGUAGCGUCGGUAUGUGUAAAAGAUUUAAAAAAAAAAAUUCAGGGAGGAUGGGUCUGAAAAUGUUGAUGAAAAGUAUGUCCUAAUGAAAGAUACUAAUAAAUAUAUGCAGAUUAUGAAAGAGUAUAAGUAAAAGAGAAGAAAAUGAGUUAAAGGAAUGAUAUGGAAAGAAAGUAAGUUAUAGACUAAGUGACCAUCAUGAUAUAAAAGUGUAACACGAAAAUUCACAAAGGUAUGUGGAUUGUCUGAUAUAAGAUGGAUUAAGAGUCAUAAAGUAAUAUCCUAUAAUGAUAAACAAAAGUAUAGAAAUAUGUGAAAGGAAAUGUGUUUGGCAAAAUGAUAAAUAUUGAUAUGAAAACAUAUGAAACUAUAAGGCAUUAUAUGAAUAAAACCAUAAAUGUGCGAAUGAGAAAAUGCGACGAAUAAGAAAUAAAUGAUAUGAUCUGAACAUGUGUGCCCCUAUAUGGAUUACAUGUGUACUUCGAAUCGGGCAAUAUGAGAUAUGACGUGAUGUGAUGGAAAUAUGAACUGAAUAAUCGUGCAAGACAAUAAAUUAUAUGAUUGGAAAUGUGAACUCCGUGAGAAUUAUGUGUGCGCUCGAAUACGAGCUAUAUAAAUGUUAGAACCGAAUGAUGAUUCAGAAAUGAAAUGGAAAAUGGGAAUGUAUGCUCUAAGCGAGCUGUAUAGUAUAUGAUAAGAUAUGUCUAAAAAUAUGAGUUUGAAAUUGAGCUAUAUGAUAUAAAAUGGUAUUCUGGUUGAAAGUGUUGUCUGUGAUCUGUAAAUGUGUUAGUUAUGGAUAAGAAUGAGUUUUGAAAAUAAAUAUGGUUGUUGAUGAAUACUGACUUGAUAUUUGAAUUAUGUUGUGAUUUGGUGGUUUGAUUUGAUAAUCUGUGAUUAACAUUGUAUCUUGUUGGUUUUGGGGAAGCACUGGUUAUAGAGAAAACGCUGCCCAAUUUUUGCUAGAAAUUGAUCAGAUAAAUUAAUACGAAGUUGUGGUAAAUAAACUGAUAAGUGAUAAUACAUGAAGAGAAUGAUGUUACAUGAUGACUUAAGAAAGGAAAAAGGGAAAAGAUAAGAAGUGUUGUGAAUGAUAAUAAAGGAAAACGUAAUGAAAUGAUGAUAUGUGGAAAGUGAAAUGCACCCUUCGUCGGCUAUAAGUGCCCGAAUAGGGACUAUGCAAUUGGGACUAUACAAUAUAUGAUGAGUAUGUGAAUUAUACAUAUGCGUGAUGAAUAUGAUAUGUGCGCCUCAUGUGGACAAAGAAAAGAUGCAAAUAACAUGGAAAUUACUAUGUAAAGAAAUGAUAAUGUGACAAAUGUGCUUGAAAUAUAUUAGAGAUAAUGAUAAUAUUAUUAUGUGAUCGCAAAAUGUGGCUAUGUGUUAAGAUGUGAUUAUGUGAUUUUGUAUGUCAUUCUGUGUUUGGUUAUGGAAGUGAGGAUACGCUAUGUAGAUGAGGAUAUAGGAUGUCGUGGAAUGGCAUACGUAUAUGCGACGCUUAUAGGAAUGAUGUAAACCCGAGGGAAUUUCGAGGACGAAAUUCCUUUUAGGGGGGAUGAGUUGUAACAUCCCGAAUUAUAGGCACCAAUAAAAGGUUUGGAUAUGUGGUGAGGAAUAGUAGUUAAGUUAAACCGUAAGGUAUAAAUUUGAUACGAAAUGCCGAUUAGUCAAUUUUCGGCAAUUUCUUUUGUCCGUGUAAAAUCAUAAAUCGAAGCUAAGGGGUAAUAAUUUUAUAAAUUACAAAUUAUGGCCUAGAAUAAUUGUUGAUAAUGUGAGGAAUUGUUUUGGGCCAUUUGAAGGUAAUUAAAAAAAUUUCUAUCGCCGAUAAUUUCAGUUUUUAACGAAAACGAUCGGCGAAACUUUUGAAGAUAUAGACAGGAAUAAUUUUGCCUUAAACUAGAAUUUAAAUGCUAAAUGAUGAUAUAAAGAGUUCCUAAAUGUGAUAUCAUAUGAUAGGGCAAUAAAAUGUUACAAGAUAAUUAAUUUAUUUAAAAACUAACUAAAUAAUUAAAUAAUGAUUAGAAUUCUCUAGAGAAUUCUUUUGUCUAUCAUCAACUCCAAACCCCCCCUCAUUUCAGCCACAAGCACGUCCUCCCCCUCUCCAUGGAAGACCAAAAGCUUAAGCUUUUUAAUUUCCAAAUAUUUGUCAUUUAAUCGGUAAAUCGAUCGGGUAAUCUUGUAUCCGCCAGCAAAUCGAGCGAAGGAGCAUAUAGUGCGUUUUGAUCACAAAGGAGUGGAUUUAGAGGGUAGAGAAGUAUCAAGGUGAAAUAGGCUUAUGUUCAUAAGCCUGCGAGGUUAGAGUCGACAUUAUGUCAGUGGUGUUGCGCAGCUUUGCAUCUUUGGCGAGUCACUGGUGGUCAACUUGGUUUAGUAGUCGUGGCAUGUUAUGUAAUAGUUUAAUCUUUAACCUUCCGCUGGAUAAAUGUUAAGUUUUUAAAUGUAAUAGAUUUUAAUUAUGCUUUUAAGCUAAAAAGAAAAAGGAAAAAUUUCAGCA
Salvia splendens (bonfire salvia) is the source of this 3707-nucleotide long non-coding RNA. RefSeq lists it as uncharacterized. The transcript has 3 exons. NCBI's taxonomy places the organism in Eukaryota, Viridiplantae, Streptophyta, Magnoliopsida, Lamiales, Lamiaceae. The record is from RefSeq and is a predicted model, not a curated record.